This 168-nucleotide ribosomal RNA is filed under the name uncultured bacterium. RNAcentral's name for it is "partial 16S ribosomal RNA". It matches the Rfam family "Bacterial small subunit ribosomal RNA", at positions 338 to 497 of the family's 1533-position model. The record is from RNAcentral.
CCUACGGGAGGCAGCAGUGAGGAAUUUUGCGCAAUGGGGGCAACCCUGACGCAGCAACGCCGCGUGAGUGAAGAAGGCCUUUGGGUCGUAAAGCUCUGUCAACAGGGAAGAAGUUACAAUUGUUUAACAGAUGAUUGUAUUGACGGUACCUGUGGAGGAAGCGCCGGC